UAAAGUAUAAGCUAAAAUGUAAGCUGAAGAGCUCAUAACUCUUUGAUAGGAACACCUUACUUUAA
This 65-nucleotide transfer RNA is filed under the name Labidocera rotunda. RNAcentral's name for it is "tRNA-Met". Lineage: Eukaryota; Metazoa; Arthropoda; Copepoda; Calanoida; Pontellidae. The record is from RNAcentral.